Small nuclear RNA from Phodopus roborovskii (desert hamster), 162 nucleotides. RefSeq annotates it as U1 spliceosomal RNA. The record is from RefSeq and is a predicted model, not a curated record. Lineage: Eukaryota; Metazoa; Chordata; Mammalia; Rodentia; Cricetidae. The transcript has a single exon.
AAAAUUCUGGCAAGGGAGACACCAUGAUCAUGAAGGUGGUUUUCCCAGGAUGAGGCUUACCCAUUCAUUGUACUCCAGCUGUGCUGACCCCUGCUGAUUUCCCCAAAUUUGGGAAACUGCAUAAUCUGUGGUAGCAGGGGACUACAUUCGCGCUCUCCCCUG